ACCCGCUGAAUUUAAGCAUAUCAAUAAGCGGAGGAAAAGAAACCAACAGGGAUUGCCUUAGUAACGGCGAGUGAAGCGGCAAAAGCUCAAAUUUGAAAUCGGCCACCAGGUCGAGUUGUAAUUUGUAGAUUGUAUCUUGAGAGCGGAUUAAAGUCUGUUGGAACACAGCGCCUUAGAGGGUGACCGCCCCGUAAAAUCUAUUCUCAUUGUAAGAUACUUUCGAAGAGUCGAGUUGUUUGGGAAUGCAGCUCUAAGUGGGAGGUAAAUUCCUUCUAAAGCUAAAUAUUGACGAGAGACCGAUAGCGAACAAGUACUGUGAAGGAAAGAUGAAAAGCACUUUGAAAAGAGAGUGAAAAAGUACGUGAAAUUGUUAAAAGGGAAGGGUAUUGAAUCAGACUUGGUGCUGUUGUUCAACUGUGUUUCGGCAUAGUGUACUCAGCAGUACUAGGCCAAGGUGGGGUGUUUGGGAGUGAAAAAGAAGUUGGAACGUAACUCUUCGGAGUGUUAUAGCCUACUUUCAUAGCUCCUCAGGCGCCUCAGGACUGCGCUUCGGCAAGGACCUUGGCAUAAUGAUUCUAUACCGCCCGUCUUGAAACACGGACCAAGGAG
RNAcentral lists this ribosomal RNA (609 nucleotides) under uncultured fungus. Its description in RNAcentral is "eukaryotic LSU rRNA". It matches the Rfam family "Eukaryotic large subunit ribosomal RNA", at positions 23 to 673 of the family's 3401-position model. Lineage: Eukaryota; Fungi. The record is from RNAcentral.